UACGUAGGGGGCAAGCGUUGUCCGGAUUUAUUGGGCGUAAAGAGCGUGUAGGCGGUUUGGUAGGUCCGCUGUGAAAACUCGAGGCUCAACCUCGAGACGCCGGUGGAAACCAUCAGGCUAGAGUCCGGAAGAGGAGAGUGGAAUUCCUGGUGUAGCGGUGGAAUGCGCAGAUAUCAGGAAGAACACCCGUGGCGAAGGCGGCUCUCUGGAACGCAACUGACGCUGAGACGCGAAAGCGUGGGGAGCAAACAGG
RNAcentral lists this ribosomal RNA (253 nucleotides) under uncultured bacterium. Its description in RNAcentral is "partial 16S ribosomal RNA". It matches the Rfam family "Bacterial small subunit ribosomal RNA", at positions 524 to 776 of the family's 1533-position model. The record is from RNAcentral.